UGAUAUGGAUUCAAAUGAUAUAAAUGUUGGGGCUUCCUCUACUUACGACGCUCUACAUCGGAGCCUGGGUGUAGUGAGAAAUAUGCAAGGAUGUAGGGCGUUCACAGAAAGCGACGCACUAUGCUGGUGCUCGAGUGUGGUGUUAAAUGAGCAAGUAUUCCCACAUCAUGGACAUGUGUGGGUAAAGAAGUUAGUCUAUAGGACAGGUAGUAGAACAAAUAGUAGAAUAGAACACCAGAUAGGCAUAGAGAACAAUAGAAUAUAUCAUAGAAGAAGAUCAAUUAGGAAGGAACAGGAAGAAGGAGAAUCAGGGUUGGUACUUAGAAUGUUGAAUCACUUACAGAAAAAUUAAUAAAGCUUGUGGAUACCUUGGAAAGAAGAAUGGUGAAUAUUACUUGCAUUCAGGAGACUAAAUAGGUAGGAGAGAAAAGUAAGAAAGUGAGUGAUUCAGGAUACAAACUAUGGUUUACCGGAAAGGAGAGGAAUAAGAACGGAGUGGACAUGAUCAUAGACAAAACAUUGAAAGAUGUCGUAAUAGCU
RNAcentral lists this unclassified non-coding RNA (540 nucleotides) under Hevea brasiliensis (rubber tree). Lineage: Eukaryota; Viridiplantae; Streptophyta; Magnoliopsida; Malpighiales; Euphorbiaceae. The record is from RNAcentral.